RNAcentral lists this ribosomal RNA (551 nucleotides) under uncultured bacterium. RNAcentral describes it as "bacterial SSU rRNA". It matches the Rfam family "Bacterial small subunit ribosomal RNA", at positions 355 to 896 of the family's 1533-position model. The record is from RNAcentral.
UGGGGAAUAUUGCGCAAUGGGGGGAACCCUGACGCAGCCAUGCCGCGUGAAUGAAGAAGGCCUUAGGGUUGUAAAGUUCUUUCGGUAUUGAGGAAGGUUGAUGUGUUAAUAGCACAUCAAAUUGACGUUAAAUACAGAAGAAGCACCGGCUAACUCCGUGCCAGCAGCCGCGGUAAUACGGAGGGUGCGAGCGAGCGUUAAUCGGAAUAACUGGGCGUAAAGGGCACGCAGGCGGUUAUUUAAGUGAGGUGUGAAAGCCCCGGGCUUAACCUGGGAAUUGCAUUUCAGACUGGGUAACUAGAGUACUUUAGGGAGGGGUAGAAUUCCACGUGUAGCGGUGAAAUGCGUAGAGAUGUGGAGGAAUACCGAAGGCGAAGGCAGCCCCUUGGGAAUGUACUGACGCUCAUGUGCGAAAGCGUGGGGAGCAAACAGGAUUAGAUACCCUGGUAGUCCACGCUGUAAACGCUGUCGAUUUGGGGGUUGGGGUUUAACUCUGGCGCCCGUAGCUAACGUGAUAAAUCGACCGCCUGGGGAGUACGGCCGCAAGGUUA